Molecule: ribosomal RNA, 490 nt
Filed under: uncultured bacterium
Lineage: Bacteria
Description: partial 16S ribosomal RNA
Rfam family: Bacterial small subunit ribosomal RNA
Source: RNAcentral
GAUGAACGCUAGUGGCAGGCCUAAUACAUGCAAGUCGAACGGGAUCCAGAUCAAAGCUUGCUUUGAUCUGGUGAGAGUGGCGCACGGGUGCGUAACGCGUGAGCAACCUACCCUUCUUAGGGGGAUAGCCCGGCGAAAGUCGGCUAAAUCCCGCAUGACAUCAUUGAGAGACAUCUUUCGAUGUUCAACGAUUUAUCGGACAAGGAGGCGCUCGCGUUACAUCAGCUUGUUGGUAAGGUAACAGCUUACCAAGGCUGCGCUGCCUAGGGGUGCUGAGAGGAGAAUCCACUACACUGGUACUGCGACCCGGACCAGAAUGCUACGCGACGCAGCAGUAUAUAAGAUUAGGCAAUGAACGGAAAUCUGAACCUGCCACGCCGCGUGAAGGAGGACGGCCGUAUUGGUUGUAAUCUGCUUUGAAACGGGAACAACCGUCGGUACGUGUACUGGUCUGAGGGUACCGUAAGAAUAAGGACCGGCUAACUCCGUG